CAGCGCCGCGGGAAUACGUAGGUGGCAAGCGUUGUCCGGAAUUAUUGGGCGUAAAGGGCUCGCAGGCGGUUUCUUAAGUCAGAUGUGAAAGCCCCCGGCUCAACCGGGGAGGGUCAUUGGAAACUGGGAAACUUGAGUGCAGAAGAGGAGAGUGGAAUUCCACGUGUAGCGGUGAAAUGCGUAGAGAUGUGGAGGAACACCAGUGGCGAAGGCGACUCUCUGGUCUGUAACUGACGCUGAGGAGCGAAAGCGUGGGGAGCGAACAGGAUUAGAUACCCCGGUAGUCCCUGUCUCUUAUACA
RNAcentral lists this ribosomal RNA (301 nucleotides) under uncultured bacterium. Its description in RNAcentral is "partial 16S ribosomal RNA". It matches the Rfam family "Bacterial small subunit ribosomal RNA", at positions 509 to 808 of the family's 1533-position model. The record is from RNAcentral.